UUUUGUAGCAAUACAGAAGUAAUUCAGUGGCGAACGGGUGCGUAACACGUGGGCAAUCUGCCGAAAAGUGGGGGAUAGCUCGCCGAAAGGCGAAUUAAUACCGCAUGUGGUGAGAGAAGACAUCUUCUUGAAUCCAAAGCCGGGGCAACCUGGCGCUUUUUGAGGAGCCCGCGGCCUAUCAGCUAGUUGGUGAGGUAACGGCUCACCAAGGCUUUGACGGGUAGCUGGUCUGAGAGGACGACCAGUCACACUGGAACUGAGACACGGUCCAGACACCUACGGGUGGCAGCAGUCGAGAAUUUUUCUCAAUGGGGGCAACCCUGAAGGAGCGACGCCGCGUGGAGGAUGAAGGCUUUCGGGUUGUAAACUCCUGUCAUUUGAGAACAAGGCGCCGAUAUUAACUGUAUCGGCGUUGAUAGUAUCAGAAGAGGAAGGGACGGCUAACUCUGUGCCAGCAGCCGCGGUAAUACAGAGGUCCCAAGCGUUGUUCGGAUUCAUUGGGCGUAAAGGGUGCGUAGGUGGCGCCGUAAGUCGGGUGUGAAAUUUCGGAGCUUAACUCCGAAACUGCAUUCGAUACUGCGGUGCUUGAGGACUGGAGAGGAGACUGGAAUUCAUGGUGUAGCAGUGAAAUGCGUAGAGAUCAUGAGGAAGACCAGUGGCGAAGGCGGGUCUCUGGACAGUUCCUGACACUGAGGCACGAAGGCCAGGGGAGCAAACGGGAUUAGAUACCCCGG
This 734-nucleotide ribosomal RNA is filed under the name uncultured Verrucomicrobiota bacterium. Its description in RNAcentral is "bacterial SSU rRNA". It matches the Rfam family "Bacterial small subunit ribosomal RNA", at positions 72 to 790 of the family's 1533-position model. Lineage: Bacteria; Pseudomonadati; Verrucomicrobiota. The record is from RNAcentral.